CUCCAAUAAUAAUUAUUAAUUGAACUCUAAAAUGUAACAAUAUUUGUACAAAAUCCAAAAUUCUAAAACACCUAAAAAUCCAAUACAUUUUCCCCAAAAAAAAAAAAAAAAAAAAAACCACUAAGUAGUGAGUGAAACAACCCUAUCGACCUCCUUAAUUUUCUUCUCAACAAUCUUCGACAUGACCUAUGCCUUAAAUAUCGGUCCCAGCCUAUAAAAAAAUGGAGAUAAAGAUAAGCCACAUUUUAGACAUUUGUACCAAUUAUAAUCGAAAAGAAAAGCAAAGAAAAUAACUAUAUCAAAAAACUCCAAUAUACACAAACUAAUUUUUACUAAGCAUUUUUUUCCUCCUUUUUCCUAAUUUUUUUUUUUUUUUUUAAGGCAGGGGUUGAAGAUUGGUUUAGAUGCCCAUGUAUAUUAGAGUUUAUCACACAAUACAUCUUAUUAUGCAUCAGCAACAAGCCAACACAAACCAAAAAGAAGAUAAUUGAUUCUGAACUUCGAUAAUUCUAUUUUCAAAAGAAGCAUGCAUGAUGGGAUAUACAAAAGUUCCAUCAUUGCGUAAAUCCAGAAUUCAGAAUUAGUGAAAGAACAUCUAUUAUUACAUUAUCUCCUGACACCGGAUCAAUCACUGGAUCUUCCAUUCCCACUAGUUUAAGAAACACAUUUCCCCUGGUUGCUCUAAACAGAAUUCUUUCAAAAGCCAUAAAUUUUUCUCUACCAACAAGUCCACUAACAAAUCCCAGCUUCACUUGAUUUAAGGGAUCUGUUGUCAUUUCCUACCAAUAUCAUAAGCAAUACAUUAAAGAAACAUAUAAUGAAGUAUAUUGACUGGAUUGAAAAAGAUAAUCAUGAUCCAUUUAAUAGUACUUGCUCAAGGUCUUAAUCAGAAUUGGUGAACGUUCAAAACUAAAGAAAUCAGAGUAUUGAGAUAAAAGGUUUGGAGUCGACAACAAAGAUUCUUUGUUUCUUAAAACUCUGAAGACUAAGAUCGAUGUCUCUUUUGAUCAUGUCAACGUCAAGAUCAGCUACAAGAUACUACCAUGACAAUUUCUUCAGCUGUUACAAGACAAAUUACAAGGAUGCUUACAUUUGUUAAGGCAAGACCAAAUGGGGAAGCAAUCAACAGUGGUAUAAAAGCUCAUAGUUGAUUCCAAGCAAUGAGGACAUUAGCACAAAAUUACGCCAGAAACAUAGCAGGAUUUAACUCCUAGGACCAGGGUUUAGUUAAGAACAACAUGCAGUACAAGAAGCUUCCUUAGAAGAUUCUUGCACAUUUAAUAAGUACCCAAAUGAAGCUUCUCAGAAAGGAAAAAUCUCAAAUUUGGGGCUCAUAAACUAACACCAUUAUGCAUUUGAAAUAAGAUGGACUGAUUUGGGGGUCAGUAAAGAGAUUGCAUUUUACAAUAACAGAAAUUGAUAAAGAAACUAAUCGAGGUGAAAAUACAUAGAUCCAGUUUACAAUAAUAGAAAGAAGAAUGAGAAGGCAAGAAAGUUGUAUAUUUACUGAAAUGGAGUAAGAAGUUGAUAAAGAAAUUUUACUGCAUCUUAAAUCAUAUUUAGGCAUUAACACAUAAGUCAUAAGUCAUAAUGACAACUUGUUCACUCAAUCAAUUUUUAAAGUUCAUGUCCCUAAAUCGAUUUACAUUUUAUUUUUCAAGUGGGACAACAGAACUUCAGUCGUACUUCAAGAAGAAGAUAUCUUCUUCCUUGUGGAGUUCCUUCGCCAAGCAGUUCCCUUGUCCAGAGAAAACGAUGGCUUGGAACCUCUAUUAAGUCUAAACAAAAGAAUUUUGAUUACUGUGAAGAGGCCCACUUGGGAGUAGAACAAGUCUAAAAGCGACAACUUACACUAUUGACUUGACUAAUUCUUGAAAUACGGGAUCCAAUCUGAAUCUCAUAUUCCAUUCUAGCUUCUGCUAUACUUCAAGGGCCUGAAAAAGUGAAAAUGUUAACUUGGAUUAGUUGGAUAGGGUCUGCCAUUGAUUGUGAGUAAACUGUAAUUCUUUAAACACAACCAAAUAAAUUCUGAAAAAAAGGAUUUGCAUAUGCAUAUGACAUUAGCGUAUUGAUCAUUCUGGAUUUCAUAUGACAACACUUAAAACAGAUGAUAUAGAGUCAAUAACAUUUCAAUGAUUUCUGACUGAAGCCAACAGUCCCAAACAACCUUGACAACUCUUGCAAAUCAAUCAAAAAGGUUUAUCCGAGCACGACCCCCACCAUGACUAUGACAUCUCGAUCUACUUGAAUAAGAUAGCUGUGUUCCUGAAACUUUUGAAGUCCUCACUACAAAAGAGAAAAAUGAAUUUUAGUUCAAGCCUUUAACAUAAAUACAGGGGAAUAAAACAACUAGAAAGAACAAGUAAGAACAAAAAUGAUAGCAACAAUUGGAUAAUGUGUUUCAAAUAUAGUCCAUAGAGAAACAUCUGAGCAUAUCAAGAAUAACCCUUUCUCCUAAGGAAACUAAGCAAUUCAACAAGCAAAAAUAUAAACUGUCAGUACAGUUCAACACUAAUGAGUACAGUGCAUUCCAAGCUCCAACAAAACCAAUUAUGCACAUUUUAACGACUUUCUAAGUGUAGAUUAAAGACCAGUACAGUGCACCAAAAAUCUUUUCAGUAUUCAGAUAUAUAAAAGGAACAAAAAACCAUUACUACCGUGAUUAUAGAACUCCUCCAAAACUAAGCAAUGGACACUUUCCCAUUUUUGCAAACAAAAGGAAAAAUGUAGAAAGCUACUUUCACGGUUAACUAGAAAGCUCUCGUGUGAUAUCAGCUAUAGCCUUCAAGCAGAACCUACAUGCAGGAUUUCAUUUUGACUUAUUCAUAUUAUUUAAAGUAAACAUCCAUAAAUCUCCUUCAAAUAUCAUAUCAAUAUGGGGGUGAAUCAUAUCCCAAAGAACACACAAAGUUGCUAUUACUAAAAUUAAACUUGUUCAGGGAGUAUCAUUGGUUUAAGUCAUCAACGGGACAAAUAAUGAGGUUGGCCAGAUGACAAAGAACAUGGGAGAGCUUAUGGUGUAAAUUUAAGCCAUUAAGUUUCAAUUUCAAUGGGAUUACAAAUAAUUUACUUUGCCCUAAAAUUCUCAUUCUAAUAAAAUUUCUAACCCCAGCGGAGGUGGAGGCGUGGAGCGGACGGACGGGGAGAGCGGUCCACUUUGCCAUAAAAUUCUCAAUCUAAUAAAAUUUCUAACCCCAGCGGAGGUGGAGGCGUGGAGCGAACUGGCGGGGGGAGCGUUCGGCGGUGGACUUGAGGAGGCGGACUGGUGGAGAGACGAGACUUCGAUAGUUCGACGACGAGCAGAGCAGCCCCGGACUGAAGUUCAGAUUUUGGGAAUUUUAGGUUAAUGGACUGUGGAUAUUGGAUAUAUAAAUUGGGUUGGGUAAAUAUAUUAAAAGCUUUUGCAACGUUUCAUAAAUGUUGCCGAAGUCAACUUUUGCAACGAUUCAUAAACGUUGCAAAGGAAAGUUUUUCGCAACGUUUUCUACAAUGUUGCGCAAGAUAGUUUUUUACAGCGUUUUAUAAACGUUGCGAAAGACAAAAAAUUUUGUAAUAUUUUAUAAACGUUGUGAAAGGUAAAAUUUUUCUCAACACUAAAUAAACGUUGCAAAAAGGCGGCAUUGACAACAUUCACUUAAAAAAUGUUGCCAAAGCUCAAUUAUAUUAAGCAAUGGCAACAUUCAAGUAUUUGAAUGAAUGUUGCCAUUGACUCCUUUAGCAAUAUUUAAUUAACGGACGUUGCCUUUUGCAUGUUGCAAAAAGUCAUUUUUGUUGUAGUGGUUAUACUAUGUAAUAGGUGUAGGUGUCUUUUAGAUUUGAACCUCACUUAGUGAUAACAAUUUCCAUUUGAAAGAGCCAUAAUGGACUAACCCUUGAUUAGGUCUCUUUGGUCAAAUUACAAUUGUUCUACUCACAGUAUCGAUUUAGGCUCAGUUCAUAGCGGGUAGAGCUAUUAAUGGUCAUGCGCUCUAAUCUUGAUUCUAGUAAGAGUCUCUAGAGAAUAACCCAAUCUCAUAGUCACGCCCUCAUGGCAACUCUUACAUAAGUGAGUCCUUCAAGAGUGCGUGUGACUCACACCUCAUGAGAAUUCUUGUCUCGGUACUCAUUUAGGAUUAAACCCUUCCUAACAUCACAUUAUUAUUAGCACUAUAUAACCAUAGGGAUAAGCACAAAUAAGAUAGUGCUAUACAAGUCAUGCAGUACGGUUGUUUCUAAUCACAUGUUUGAACAUGUGCAUCCAUUCAACUCUUGUAUUUGACCUCCGUGUCUCUAGUUUUAUUUCUGUACUUUCAAAAGUCAGUUUUACACAAUGUACGGUGCAUUUAUUUGAAAUUUUUAAAUACCCAAACAUUUCAAAGAUUUGAUUUUUUUUAAUUUAAUUUAAACACAAUAAUUCAUUUCCAAAUGAGGUACCAAUAUUCAUAUGUCACAAAUAUAACAUUGAUUUUUAUAGUCGAUUGAGACUAUACAAAUGUCAAUCAUAAAUGCAUACCCUACUCAUACGUACACAUCACAUAUAUGCAGGGCCGGUCCUGAGCCGAGGCGGAUGAGGCCUGCGCCCCAGGCCAAAAGCUGAAGGGGGCCUCGUUUCCACGGCCUCAGUUUUUUUUUCUGUUAAAUGAAGAAAGUAAAUUGAAUGAAGGAAUCAUUUUCCUCUCCAACUCGCCUAUGGCUGCUGGGAAGUUGAAGAAUAUUCUGGAAAUCAUUCCUUGCUGGAAACAUCGAGGUUGGAUGGAGCCGCCAUUAUUGCAGAAGCUUGAACGCAGACUUGAAUUCAAAAGGAAGGGAAGAUGAUGAGUAUUAUAAUUGGGCCAACUUUUAAUUUCCUCCAUUUUCUAAAGUCCAAAUGUUAACUUGUAAGCCUUUUGUGUUGGACUUCUUAUUUAUUUUAAAUGAGGCCCAUAUCUUGUAUUGUGAAAUGGUUAAAGCAAAGUUGAAACCCUAUGGCUCUUUCUCAGUUUCUCUCCCGCCACUGAAAUUGAACGCCGACCUUGUGAUUUUCGUUGGCAAAAAUAAUGAGAAAUUAGCGAUAGGUCUGUUCAAAUCAGGUAUAGUUAUAUCAUCCUCGACAAUUGAAAGGAGCUUUGCUAGUGCACGAAAUGAGAAAUUCUACCUCAAAACACGGGAAAAAGAAGUAACAACAUAUAAAAAUUGCACAACAGGUAUGUAUCGAUUUUUUAAUUUUUUUGUACAUAUUUAUUGAUUAUUUUUGUGGCUUGCUACAACUAUAAUUUUAGAGCUAUUUCAUUUGGGAUUUUUGUUUAUUGGGAUUAACAUUUUAAUAUGUGAAUAGCUAGCUACCUUAGAAAUUUAAAACCAUGAUUUCGUUAAUUGCCUAUGGCUUUUAGUUAGGGAAUGUUUCUUGGUAUCCGAUCAAUGGGUGAUAUUUGAUUUCGGGGCUUCUUUAUCGUGAAUUAGAUGGCUCAAGAUUGUUGAUGUAAAUUGUUUCAUGGUCUACUGGUUAUUGCAAAUUUGGGAGUUGUUGUAAUGUGUGGUUUGCUUGCAUUAAGUGUAAGUAAUUUGUAUGGAUAGCUCAAGUUUUUUGGUUCCAUUGCAGCAUUGUUAUGUAUGUUUACCAUUGAAAUGUAAUUAGAAAUAUAAAUUUCAUGCCAAUUGACUUCCAAAAGAAGCGGUUUAAGUGCACUUUCUUUGGAUAUCUAAAGUUCUAGAGAGUAAUAAGGGAUACUUGACAAAUUAUUCAUUUUUCUGAAUUUUUUUUUAAACCCUCCAUAGGAUAUUUAGUGAUGCUCGAAUAACUACGAGAAAUUAGCGAUAGGUCUAUUCAAAUCUGAUCAAAAAUAAAAGUGGAUGUUUCUUGGUCGAUUGGUUCGGUAAAGCCAUUUUAGAAAGGUAUAGUACUAAAUUUCUAUCAAUUAUAUGUCUAUCUGGGUUUCUUGUUUUUAUUCUGUUAAUUAAUUAUGUAUGUUUGUAGGAGUGGUUUUCUCUUUUCUUGAAUUUUUUUUUAUUGUAUUCAGGUUUAUGAGAUUUGUCAAUACGUCAGAAAUUCUCAAGAGAUCGAACAAAUUGAUAGUUUAAUUCAUUCAGAUGAACAAUCAAAUAUGGCAACAAAGGCUAGAAUACCAUUUUCUUUUCAAAUCUUACAACUGGGAAAAUGUUUCAAGAAGUGAAGUUCCAAUAUUUCUAAUUCUCUGUGGAUGGCUCUACCGGAGGAAAGAACGAUAGAAAUUGAGGUAUGCUCAAUUCCAUUUUCAUGAUUUGUUUAUAAUUAUUAGUUAACCAUGUUUUGCUAUUUAUUUGUAUAUGUGUUUUGUUUGUGAGCUUGUCUGCUGGAGGCUUAGGACGAUUUCAUUCUCAAUGGUUUUUUUUUUUUUUUUUUUUUGAGCUAUACAUUAAGGUUUAUGUUUUGCUAAAAAUAUAUCAUGUAAAACUAAUGGGGGGCCUAACUUAUAGAGUUCGCCUCAGGCCCAAGAAACCACAGGACCGGCUCUGCAUAUAUGAGUGACUAUAUUAAAUUGUUAAUUAUCAUCAUUAGGGAUAUUAAGUUGAUGUUAAUGUUCAUUUAGCACACAUAUAUCCAAAGUUUUUAAUACCACAUAACUUUUGGAACUUCUUUCCCACAAUAAAAUUAUCUUUAGGAUGAUAACAUGGUUAAGUGCAAACAUACUUCAAUUUAGAUAAUUCCAGUUAUACAUGUUACUUGGAGUAGCAUUAUACAUGGCAACAUGUCUUUGUAUCCCAAGUCAAAUCACUGCCUCUUCUUUAACCUUCGAGAAAACAAUUNAGGCGGACUGGUGGAGAGACGAGACUUCGAUAGUUCGACGACGAGCAGAGCAGCCCCGGACUGAAGUUUAGAUUUUGGGAAUUUUAGGUUUAUGGAUUGUGGAUAUUGAAUAUAUAAGUUGGGUUGGGUAAAUAUUUUAACAGCUUUUACAACGUUUCAUAAAUGUUGCAAGUCAAAACUUUUGCAACGUUUCAUAAACGUUGCAAAAAAAAGGUUUUUGAAACGUUGCAAAAGAAAGUUUUUCAACGUUUUCUACAAUGUUGCGAAAGAUAGUUUUUUGCAGCGUUUUAUAAACGUUGUGAAAGACAACUUUUUGAAAUAUUUCAUAAACGUUGCGAAAGGUAAAAUUUUUCGCAACACUAAAUAAACGUUGCAAAAAGGUGGCAUUGACAACAUUCACUUAAAAAAUGUUGCCAAAGCUCAAUUAUAUUAAGCAAUGGCAACAUUCACGUAUUUGAAUGAAUGUUGCCAUUGACCCCUUUAGCAACAUUUAAUUCACGGAUGUUGCCUUUUACAUGUUGCAAGAGGUCAUUUUUGCUGUAGUGGUUAUACUAUGUAAUAGGUGUAGGUGUGUUUUGGACUUGAAUCUCACUUAGUGAUAACAAUUUCCAUUUGAAAGAGCCAUAAUGGACUAACCCUUGAAUUAGGUCUCUUUGGUCAAAUUACAAUUGUUCUACUCACAGUAUCGAUUUAGGCUCAGUUCAUAACGAUUAGAGCUAUUAAUGGUCAUGCACUCUAAUUUUAAUUCUAGUAAGAGUCUCUAGAGAAUAACCCAAUUCCAUAGUCACGCUCUCAUGGCAACUCUUACAUAAGUGAGUCCUUCAAGAGUGCGUGUGACUCACAUCUCAUGAGAAUUCUCGCCUCGGUACUCAUUUAGGGUUAAACCCUUCCUAACAUCACAUUAUUAUUAGCACUAUAUCACCAUAGGGAUAAGCACAAAUAAGAUAGUGCUAUACAAGUCAUGUAGUAUGGGUUGUUUCUACCACAUUGAACCUUCUUCAUGGGAUCUCCAAUCACAAAACUUGGGUUACUUUCGGAGGUGACUCCCUUAUGGACUUAAACUCAUCCACUUCAAUGAUUUAUAUAUAUAUAUAUCCAUGGAUUUCAAUAUAUUCGUGUCCCUCUUGGACAAUAAUUUGGUACCAUAAUAUUUGCAAACUCUUAUUUUCUGCUUGCACAUCAGUACAUCUGCAAAAUCUUCUAAAACAUUUCAAAAUAUUAAAGUCACGUUAAGUAUAAUAAGAUAAAUAGUUAAACUUAAAAUUGACUUCUAAUCACAUGUUUGAACAUGUGCAUCCAUUCAACUCUUGUAUUUGACCUCCGUGUCUCUAGUCUUAUUUAUGCACUUUCAAAAGUCAGUUUUACACAAUGUACGGUGCAUCUAUUUGAAAUUUUUAAAUACCCACACAUUUCAAAGAUAUGAUUUCUUUAAAUUUAAUUUAAACACAAUAAUUCAUUUCCAAAUGAGGUACCAAUAUUCAUAUGUCACAAAUAUAACAUUGAUUUUUAUAGUCGAUUGAGACUAUACAAAUAUCAAUCAUAAAUGCAUACCCUACUCAUACGUACACAUCACAUAUAUGAGUGACUAUAUUAAAUUGUUAAUUAUCAUCAUUAGGGAUAUUAAGUUGAUGUUAAUGUUCAUUUAGCACACAUAUAUCCAAAGUUUUUAAUACCACAUAACUUUUGGAACUUCUUUCCCACAAUAAAAUUAUCUUUAGGAUGAUAACAUGGUUAAGUGCAAACAUACUUCAAUUUAGAUAAUUCCAGUUAUACAUGUUACUUGGAGUAGCAUUAUACAUGGCAACAUGUCUUUGUAUCCCAAGUCAAAUCACUGCCUCUUCUUUAACCUUCGAGAAAACAAUUAUCUGUGAUGCUUGUAUAAUUUUACUAGAUAGAGAAGGAAAGACAGGAAUCAAUAGUUUCUUAGCCCCUAAUUUUAACUGGCAUAAUACACUAUACUGUAACAGUUAUCCUCUUGAGUCGCCAUAAUGAUGAAAACAAUGUUUUUAGAACCCAAAAUUACGUUUGUCAUUAUCUAAUUAAUUUCCCUAUUGAUUAUGUUAUGCUUAAACCAAGUCAACUGCCAUACAUAAUCCAAAAUAAUUACCAGCUCUACUUUUAAACAUCUGACUCACAUUCUAAUUAUAAUGAGAUUCCUCCAUAGCCUUAUGUGAUGGUAAUGGCAGUACACUUCCUUUUAGACAAGAUAAACAAGUAGCAACUAAGAUUUGAUUUAAUUGGAAUAGAAUUCGUUGUACUACUACAAUUUCACUGAAAAUUUACUCAUUUAAAGUAAUCACUAGCAAGUUCUUAUUGUAUUAGCAAAAGCAUUGAAAAAUUCUUGGUAGGAUGGCACAAUAUUUUAAGUCACAUAAUUGAACUAAUAUCAAGAUGACAG
This 9140-nucleotide long non-coding RNA is filed under the name Olea europaea subsp. europaea. Lineage: Eukaryota; Viridiplantae; Streptophyta; Magnoliopsida; Lamiales; Oleaceae. The record is from RNAcentral.